This 211-nucleotide ribosomal RNA is filed under the name uncultured bacterium. Its description in RNAcentral is "partial 16S ribosomal RNA". It matches the Rfam family "Bacterial small subunit ribosomal RNA", at positions 1282 to 1500 of the family's 1533-position model. The record is from RNAcentral.
CCUAUCUCAGUUCGGAUUGGAGGCUGAAACCCGCCUCCAUGAAGUUGGAUUCGCUAGUAAUCGCGCAUCAGCCAUGGCGCGGUGAAUACGUUCCCGGGCCUUGUACACACCGCCCGUCAAGCCAUGGGAGCCGGGGGUGCCUGAAGUUCGUUACCGCAAGGAUCGACCUAGGGCAAAACUGGUGACUGGGGCUAAGUCGUAACAAGGUACC